AAUCAGUUUUUUCACUUCACUUAUAGACUAUAAUGUUAAUUUUUUUGCAAUAUCUGUUGGGUUAUUAUGCAGCUGCCUGAAUAGCAGUAUUAACCCACUGAUUUAUUUCCUGAUUGGGAGAAACAAGAGGGCUCGAUCUAGGGAGAGCAUGAAGGUCAUAUUCCAGAGACUUUUCAAAGAGGAGGAAAACUGCAGAGAGGAACAAGAAGUUCCAGUUCAAACCUGGAUGUGAAGAAAUACUUCAAGAUAGCUCAGAAAGCUUCAUUUUCUAUCUCUUGGUGUAUUUCUUGGUACUUGUUUUCCUCUGUACUCACUAUUUUAUUAUUUUGGAUUCAUUUACUCUGUUAAUUUUUGUCCUCUUUUCAGGGGUAUCCUUAAAAGCCCCUUGGAUUGCCCAUUGGGCAGGAUUAAUAUUUCGUAUGUUUUAGAAAAUGAAAUAAAAAUAAAUGCCGCUUUAACAGUGUGAGUUGAGUGGGAUGACUUGCUAAAUGGUAUAGAAAACAGACUCAUUGCCAAAAGGAAUGAAGUAAAGAAAUCUUCACAUGUAGAGCUCGAAUGUUUGAAGAAAACAGAAGAAAAUGUUUCUCCCAGAUUUUAUAAAAGGUGCAUGAUAGAACAUUCCACCAGUACAAUCCCUAUUUUCUGUGCUAUUUUUCUAGAAAAAUAGGUGCAGAAACUCACAAUAAAGGCCUCCCUUGUUCUCUUAUAAUUGCAACAGCAUGCACCUGAGAAGCGCUGGAACUCAGUUCCAGUUAGUUAUGGCUGAAAAAGAGCACUGCUUAUUAUAUGGAUGUAGUGAUAUAGAAAUUAUAACUAUGUGCAUAUAAAAAUAUACAAUGUUCUGCCAUCUACACCUUUAUGGGGCAAUGUGACAAUUAGCAGAAGUGAUUCAUGACAUCAAUGUUUCUCCAUCUUUCCAAUAAAGUUUUUUUGGGGUAAACCAGAGGAUACGGGGGGGGGGGGGUUCUCUUCUCUGUAUCGUUCCAAUUUUAGUAUAUGUGCUGCCGAAGCGAGCACUGUCUUUCUCUCUCUCUCUCUCUAUGUGUGUGUGUAUGUGUGAUUAAUGAACGUUAAUAUGAUGCUUCAAAAGAGAGGAAUUAACUUGCUGUUGGACUGCUGAAGAACGAUAGAGCCCAAGGACUGAGAACUGAAUCUGGUCGAGAUCCAGAUCUUCAAUCAUCCCCAUAAUAUUUUGGAAUGCCUUUGCAUAUCAUUACUGCAUAUAUAGUUACUUUCCCCAUAAUAUCAGUUUUAGUUUUGAUGCUUUUCUAAGUGUCUCCUCUCACAGGAAACACCCAACUAUCUUCUGCAGAAGUUCAAGCAAGAUAGCUCUGGUGGCAGAUAACAAGGUCCUGGCAUUUAACGCUCCUGAACAUGUUCCCAGUACAGUCAUACAUCAGGUUACAGAUGCUUCAAGUUGUGUUUUUUGGGGUUACCCAUAUGCCAAAACCCGGAAGUACUGGAACAGGUUACUUCUGGGUUUCGGCGGUUGCGUGUGCGCAGAAGCGCUAAAUCAUGCUUUGCGCAUGCGCAGAAGCACCGAAUCGCAACCCACGCAUGCACAGACGCACUGCUGCAGGUUGCGAAUGCUGCGGGUUGCGAAAGUGCAUCCUGCAUGGAUCACAUUCACAACCCAAGCAUCCACUGUAUACCCUUCUCAUACAGAGUCUUCUAUAUCACAUAUUUAAGUCUCAUGUGCAGUAGUAUCAAGCUGAUACUUCCCAUGUUUGGGCUCCUGUACUCAAAACUAUACCACCAUUGCAUAAGAGGCAUGUUUUGUGUAGCACUGAGAGGGGCAUAAAAACCCCAGAAUAACCCAAAGAAAAUUCAGUGGAAUUGGGUAUGGAAUGACUGAAUGGAAAAAACUAAGAACCAGGUGGAAGAGAGCAUGAUGUAGGUCUCUCUCUCUCUCUCUCUCUCUCUCUCACACACACACACACAGAGAGAGAGAGAGAGAGAGAGAGAGAGAGAGAGAGAAAGAAAUACUAUCUCUUGUUCUGGCUAGAUUUCAGCCUUAUUCAGAUUGAGCAGAUAUUUUUUCCCCCUCUACCAGGACUUCGACCGCCCGUAAACCUGUUACAGGUACUUGUUCUACUCUGAACUCAGUCUCUUAUUAUUAUAAAUUUAUUUGUUAAUAUCCACAGGUUGUAUAUCUCUGGGGAGACAUAGAGGUAAACCCUCUUUUCAUUAUUUUAAACUGCAGAAUUAUAUAUUAAUAUUAUUUUUUGAAUUUAUAUACUGUCCUAAAAAUCUUCCAAUUAAUGACAAAUCAAAGCAAAUCAUUCCAUAUUACAAUAAUAGCAAUACCACCAAUGAUAAAUUCCAAUUAUUAAAAAAAUUCAAAAGGGAACUCCCCAUGCUCCAGAUGUCUACAGAUAUUGUCCGCAUUAAAGUCUCUGCAUUCUUCACUAUUUUCCAUUUUCAUAACUCUGAUUUUAACCGUGCUUAUCUUCUAAAUCCAUCAGUCGCUGUUUCUGUGACUCACUAUCUUUCUAAACAGUUCCUUAGAUUAUGAACACACAGGAGGCAUUUCUUAUUCCAUAUUAUACUCUAUCCAAUUAUUUUUGAAGUGCAGUCCUCUUUCUUUGAUCUCUCCUUCGUUCUUCGUAUUCUUGUUAAGGCUCUCGGCUUUGUUCCAAAGUUGAAGUUGGUGGCAGCCCCAUUAUAUAUGACACCAAACUGGGAGGGGUGGCUAACACCCCAGAGGACAGGAUCACACUUCAAAACGACCUUGACAGAUUAGAGAACUGGGCAAAAACAAACAAGAUGAAUUUUAACAGGGAGAAAUGUAAAGUAUUGCACCUGGGCAAAAAAAAUGAGAGGCACAAACAGUGGCGUAGCGUGGGGGGUGCAGGGGGGCCGGCCGCACCGGGCGCAACAUCUGGGGGGGCGCUGGCACUCGCAGCUCUCUGCCCCUACCUGGCUCACUCACUCUCUCUCACUGCAGUGCUGGCUGUGCGAAUCCGAUCCGAGCUGCCGGGUCGCCGCCCACUGUGGAGGGGGGGUGCCAGGCAUGCGUGUUAGGGGGCGCAAAUUACUUGCCUUGCCCCGGGUGCUGACAACCCACGCUACGCCACUGGGCACAAAUACAAGAUGGGUGACACCUGGCUUGAGAGCAGUACAUGUGAAAAGGAUCUAAGAGUCUUGGUUGACCACAAACUUGACAUGAGCCAACAGUGUGACGUGGCAGCUAAAAAAGCCAAUGCAAUUCUGGGCCUCAUCAAUAGGAGUAUAGCAUCUAGAUCAAGGGAAGUAAUAGUGCCCCUAUAUUCUGCUCUGGUCAGACCUCACCUGGAGUACUGUGUCCAGUUCUGGGCACCACAGUUCAAGAAGGACACUGAUCAAACUGGAACGUGUCCAGAGGAGGGCAACCAAAAUGGUCAAAGGCCUGGAAACGAUGCCUUAUGAGGAACAGCUAAGGGAGCUGGGCAUGUUUAGCCUGGAGAAGAGGAGGUUAAGGGGUGAUAUGAUAGCCAUGUUCAAAUAUAUAAAAGGAUGUUACAUAGAGGAGGGAGAAAGGUUGUUUUCUGCUGCUCCAGAGAAGCGGACACGGAGCAAUGGAUCCAAACUACAAGAAAGAAGAUUCCACCUAAACAUUAGGAAGAACUUCCUGACAGUAAGAGCUGUUCGACAGUGGAAUUUGCAGCCAAGGAGUGUGGUAGAGUCUCCUUCUUUGGAGGUCUUUAAGCAGAGGCUUGACAACCAUAUGUCAGGAAUGCUCUGAUGGUGUUUCCUGCUUGGCAGGGGGUUGGACUCGAUGGCCCUUGUGGUCUCUUCCAACUCUAUGAUUCUAUGAUUCUAUGAAUCUACAAUUCUAUGAUUCCAUGAUUCUAUGAUUCUAUGAUAUGUUUUGGGUUUGAUGCGUUUAUAACUGUCUCCUCUGACAGGAAACACCCAGAAGUUCAAGCAAGAUAGAUCUGGUGGUAGAUAACAAAGCCCUGGCAUUCAACCCUCAAGAGCAUGUGCCCAACAUACCAUUCUCAUACAAAGUCUUCUAUACCACAUAUUUCAAUCACAUAUGCCGUAAUAUCGAGUUGAUACUUCCCAUGUUUGAGCUGCUGUAGCAUAAAAGACAUAAAACCCCUAGAACAACCCAAAGAAAACUCAGUGGAAUGAGAUAUUGAAUGAGUGAGUGUGGAAAAAACUUAGACCUUGAUGGAAGGCGGCAUGCGGUAGGUCUCUCUCUCUCUCUCUCUCUCUCUCACACACACACACACACACACACAAAACACACACACAAUCCCUUGAUCUGGCUAGAUUACAGCCUUAUUCAGACAGAAUUAUUUUUUUCUUUGUCGCCAAGAUGAAAUGAAGAGUACUUGAUAUCAAUAAAUAGAGGCUUUAAAGAACUGGUGCAUAUGGGAUCGGACAGAAGUGUUCCCACGCCCCACCAAAAAAAGUAGAUUGGCCUCCCACACAUGUCAAAGCUUUCCCAAGGGGGUUGGAAAAUUAAGGUGACUAAGGCCUGCCAGCAGGACAUCACGGGGGAGGAGAGUACUGUUGUGUUCAGAAGCUGUUGUGGUCUUCCUUGAAGCAUCUGUUUGGUCAUUAUGAGACCAGGACAAUUGACUACAAGGGCCACUGAACUGAUCUAGCAGGACUCUCUUUUUUGUUCUUCAGAUACAUUUCUCCACCCCAGCCUACGUUCUUCCCCUGCAGAACCAACCACAAGCUGAUUUCUCUCUGAAUACACUGGUUAGUCUUUCUGUUAAUGGGUCAGGUGACAGUCUAAUCAAUAAAGAUGUUUCUCCAGAUAGGGACAAAGAGAAGUUGGACUUGCUUACCACUUGCAAACUCUCUCUUCUCAAGAGUGCUUGCUUGGUGCACUGAACUUUAGAAGGCAAGAGUCUCCUCCUGAGUUUGCCAAAUGCUAUCCUGAGACCCAAUGCACAAAGCAACCAGCUUAUCACACGAUGCUGGCAAAUGGAUUAAACAGAACUGAAGACACAUGGGCAGAAUCCUACACAUCUUGCUAAGAACCAGAUGAGGCAUCUUAACAAUUUCUGAUUAUCUUCCUAUUACCUGCUUAUUCCAGCACCACUUGCUGCUCCCACUCACCAUGCUGGAGGGAUGCUGAUCCAAAGCUUUUGAGAGCAAUGCGAAUAGCUACUUUUGAUGUCAUUCAUUAGCAAAGGUAAGAGGGGAUCUGUAGCUGAAUGGCAAUGCUGUGCACCUUUGGCUUAUAGGGGGGGGUAAGCUAACUCCCUGGAGUGUUCUGUUAGAAGGAUACCAGGUGGAUGGCUGGUGAAGACGGCAGGGAUUUUUGGUUCCCACAUCCAGUCAGAGCAGCAAGUACUAGGCAGGAUAGAGUAAUGGUUUGUCUAAUACAUUCCACAUUGUAAAAAUCUUGCUGUCUGGCUAAUCUAUUGUGGUUUUUUUCCUUCUAAUUUUCAUAUUUCUUAAUAAUCCCAAUUCAACUUGUGUUUUAUUUAUCCACUUUUGUUCAAAACCACAUUUUAAGAACAAUAAAAUUACACAUGCCUUCCCAAUUCAUUCUAGCUUUUGUUUCCCGAAUCACAAGAGCUGUUCAACUCCUUCUCACACUCCUCUUCACCAACACCCAACCAACCAAUGUCCGUGACACAAGAGGUUAGUUUCUGAUCUUAAGGCUGAGUCAGAGAGCAGAAAAGGAGAAUUUGAGUUCUAAAACAAUAUGCUUACUGAUGUUGUGAAUGUCAUUUUUUUACUCAGAGCAAAAGAUCCACAACACAUCGGCAAACUCCAUUUCCCCCCUGAGCCUUUGAAACUGAUAAGUUGUGGCAAACAUUCCAAUGACUAUAUUCCUAAAGUGUUCAUCAGUCAUGAAUUCCCACUAUAGCAUGUCUCUUUUGUUAUUGUUUGAGUGUCUCAGUUUCAUAUGGUUGAGCUUUACAGCUAAAACUGACUCCACAUUUGUUUAUUUUCUCUUGUUAGAACUAUACAAGAAAAGCCCAAAAGUCCAGAUACAGCAAGAUGAGCAAUGAUGGCCUGGGAUCCUGGUCCACUUUGAAUGCUUCAUUGGAAGAUAUUGGAGCAGAAAAUGAAAAUGACUUCCUAACCCCCCAGGAUGGUUUCGAUCACCAAUUAUCACCAUAUGAUAUAGCAGACAUUCUUAUCUCCAUCUCCAUUGUACUUAUUAGCAUUUUUGGAAUCAUUGGGAAUGGAACUGUCAUCUGGUUUCUUGGUUUUUGCAUGAAGAGGAAUCCUUUCACCACUUUCAUACUACAUCUGGCUGUUGCUGACCUUGGGGCUCUCAUGAGCUUACCUCCUCUUUCGAUUAUGAGAAUUUUGACUUUAUUUCCAUUCUUCACUUUUUAUAUUAACUUGUUUGCAGUAUUCGAUAAUUUGUUGUUGUUUAUGUACAACACUGGUCAAUAUCUGUUGACAGCCAUUAGCAUGGACAGGUGUGUUUCUGUCGUUUUCCCACUUUGGCAUCGAUGCCACCGACCACCACACCUUUCCACCCUUGUGUGUGCCACAAUAUGGAUCAUUUCUUUCCUGCUCACUGCAAUCAACUUGAUUGCUUCUAUUUUUAAGAUUCUACCAUAUACCAUUCUCUACCACCUUCUCAUGAAUGCUAUACUUUGCCUCCCACUCAUGACUGUUUCCACUCUGGUCCUGUUUAUAAAACUUUACUUCAGAUCACAACAGAGGAAGAAGGGAAAAGCUGUAACAGCCAUCCUACUUGCCCUCCUCUUCUUCCUCUUCUUAGCUUUCCCACUUACUUGCAUUUUAUUAAUCCGUUUUUUCACUUCACUUAUAGACUAUAAUGUUGAUUUUUUUGCAAUAUCUGUUGGGUUAUUAUGCAGCUGCCUGAAUAGCAGUAUUAACCCACUGAUUUAUUUCCUGAUUGGGAGAAACAAGAGGGCUCAAUCUAGGGAGAGCAUGAAGGUCAUACUCCAGAGACUUUUCAAAGAGGAGGAAAACUGCAGAGAGGAACAAGAAGUUCCAGUUCAAACCCGGAUGUGAAGAAAUACUUCAAGAUAGCUCAGAAAGCUUCAUAUUCUAUCUCUUG
Podarcis lilfordi (Lilford's wall lizard) is the source of this 6994-nucleotide non-coding RNA. NCBI's taxonomy places the organism in Eukaryota, Metazoa, Chordata, Lepidosauria, Squamata, Lacertidae. The record is from the annotation of a GenBank genome assembly.